This 557-nucleotide ribosomal RNA is filed under the name uncultured archaeon. RNAcentral describes it as "bacterial SSU rRNA". It matches the Rfam family "Archaeal small subunit ribosomal RNA", at positions 321 to 879 of the family's 1478-position model. The record is from RNAcentral.
CCCUACGGGGCGCAGCAGGCGCGAAACCUUCACACUGUGCGAAAGCACGAUGAGGGGAUCCCAAGUGCUUGCACGUAAGUGUAAGCUGUUUCUUUGUUUAAAAUGCAUAGAGAGUAAGGGCUGGGUAAGACGGGUGCCAGCCGCCGCGGUAAUACCUGCAGCUCGAGUGGUGACCACUAUUAUUGGGCCUAAAACGUCCGUAGCCGGUUUGAUAAAUGCCUGGGUAAAUCGUAUAGCUCAACUAUACGAAUUCCGGGUAGACUGUCAAGCUUGAGACCGGGAGAAGCUAGAGGUACUCUUGGGGUAGAGGUGAAAUUCUGUAAUCCUGAGGGGACCACCAGUGGCGAAGGCGUCUAGCUAGAACGGGUUUGACGGUGAGGGACGAAGCCCUGGGGCGCGAACCGGAUUAGAUACCCGGGUAGUCCAGGGUGUAAACGCUGCUUGCUUGAUGUUAGUCGGGCUCCGAGCCCAACUAGUGUCGGAGAGAAGUUGUUAAGCAAGCUGCCUGGGAAAUACGAUCGCAAGAUUGAAACUUAAAGGAAUUGGCGGGGGAGCCA